This 164-nucleotide ribosomal RNA is filed under the name uncultured bacterium. RNAcentral's name for it is "partial 16S ribosomal RNA". It matches the Rfam family "Bacterial small subunit ribosomal RNA", at positions 355 to 511 of the family's 1533-position model. The record is from RNAcentral.
UAGGGAAUCUUCCACAAUGGACGAAAGUCUGAUGGAGCAACGCCGCGUGAGUGAAGAAGGGUUUCGGCUCGUAAAACUCUGUUGUUAAAGAAGAACAUAUCUGGGAGUAACUGUUCAGGUAUUGACGGUAUUUAACCAGAAAGCCACGGCUAACUACGCGCCAG